CUGGCAGAGUGCAGAUUGCAGGGGCACAUGCACAGAGAAGACGGGCCAGGGCCAGAGUAGAGAGCAGCUGCUGCUCCGGGGACCCACCUGGGGUGGCCAUGAGAGCUGGUGACUGGAGGCCGGGAGGACCCGUGACCAGAGGUGAUGGCACUGAGGGGCCCAGGGCUGGAGAGACCACCCCUCACCUGUCCAGAGCUGAGGCAGGAGCAGUGCUGGGGAGGAUGCCAGGUCAGGGGAGCUGGCCCUGAGAGGAGAGGGGGCCUGGGAGCCAGCACCCUGAGCCCUGGCCCUGAUCCACUCCAGCCCUGUGUAGCCCAACAGCCCUUCCCCUCCUUGCCCAGUCCCCUCCCCCUGCAAGGCACUCUCCCCUCUUCUCCCCCAGGGGCCACAGGCAGACCUCCCCUCUGUCUCUCUGAACCCUCCUCUGUCUCUCCCAGACCCAGAUGUUUCCUCCUGCCCUGGGGUAGACCCAGGCCCUGCCCCCGGGCAAAGUCAAACUGGGGGCUCCAGGGGCUCCCCUGCACCAAGGCCUGCAGAGUCAGGUUCUUCCUCCCGCACCACAGAGGGCGGGGCUUCCUGCCCACCCCACCCAUGCCACUGCCCACCAGCGCCAUCUCCCACACAGGGCCUGGAGAACAGCUGGCGCCAGCACCGCGAGGCCGCGGCGUAUCUGCAUGGGCGCCUGCAGGCACUGGGGCUGCAGCUCUUCGUGAAGGACCCGGCGCUCCGGCUUCCCACAGUCACUACUGUGGCUGUACCCGCUGGCUAUGACUGGAGAGACAUCGUCAGCUACGUCAUGGACCACUUCGACAUUGAGAUCAUGGGUGGCCUUGGGCCCUCCACGGGGAAGGUGCUGCGGAUCGGCCUGCUGGGCUGCAAUGCCACCCGCGAGAAUGUGGACCGUGUGACGGAGGCCCUGAGGGCGGCCCUGCAGCACUGCCCCAAGAAGAAGCUGUGACCUGCCCGCUGGCCCACAGCUGGCGCUGGCACACACCUGGCACUGGCACACACCUGUCCCAUGCCCACCCUGAGGGAUCAGGAGCAAACAGACCCUGCAAGGUCCUCCAGGCCUGGGGACAGAAAAGCCACUGACCCAGCCCGGGAGGCAGAACCAGGCAGCCUCCCUGGCCCCAGGCAGCCCUUUUCCCUCCAGUGGCACCUCCUGGAAACAGUCCACUUGGGCGCAGAACCCAGUGCCUUCCAAAUGAGCUGCAGUCCCCAGGCCAUGAGCCUCCCGGGAAUGUUUAAUAAAGGGCCUGGCCACCUCUCCUCACUGUGUGGGGUGCUCUGUGAAAGAGUGAGAGGAGAGCAUCUCUGCUCCCUGAGCUGCCUGAUUGUGGACUUUAGGGGGACACUCCUCAUCCUGGAGCCCACAGGGUAGAUCCUCCCCUGGAGGAGGUGCUGUCACCACACUCUAGCCCCAGAUGUCACACCCCCAAACGUCCUCACGCACCACAUCCAGGUGAACCCACACAGCCCACAGGGCUGGUUGGAGACCCCUGUCAUGGACAAGGGUACCUGCGUGCUGGAGAGCGCACAGCCAGGACCUGAGCCCAUGACACGUGGAAGCCUCCAAUGGAAGGUCCCCUAUGCUCCCAUCCAGCCAGUGCCCACCCCUCAACUGCCUGACUUCUGUGACCAUAGAUCAGUCUGGCAUAUUUGAAUUUAUUUAUUUAUUUUGAAACGGAGUUUCACUCUUGUUGCCCAGGCUGGAGUGCAGUGGCACGACCUCAGCUCACUACAACCUCCGCCUCCCGGGUUCAAGCGAUUCUCCUGCCUCAGCCUCCGGAUUAGCUGGGACUACAGGUGUGCACCACCAUGCCCGGCUAAUUUUUGUAUUUUUAGUACAGAUGGGGUUUCACCAUAUUGGCCAGGCUGGUCUCGAACUCCUGACCUCAAGUGAUCCACCUGCCUCGGCCUCCCAAAGUGCUGGGAUUACAAGCGUGAGCCACCGUGCCCGGCCAUAGUUGAAUUUCAUGGUCAGUGGGACACACAGCAGGUCCUCCACUGUGCCAGCUUCUUUCACUUACUGUUUUUGACACUCACAUGUACCGUCGUGGGCGCUGGUGUGUCUUGUUGCUGAGUGCCGUCCCGUCAUAUGGACGUGCGUCGUGGGCGCUGGUGUGUCUUGUUGCUGAGUGCCGUCCCGUCAUAUGGACGUGCGUCGUGGGCGCCGGUGUGUCUUGUUGCUGAGUGCCGUCCUGUCAUAUGGACACCUCAUGAUUUGUUGGUUCAUCACCAUAGUUGAGCAUCUGGGUUAUUUCUAUUUUGGGGCUGUUAUGAAUACGGAGGUAGUGAAAUUCUUACUCAAGCCUUCGUGUGGCCAUAUAUUUUCAUUUUUCUUGGAUAAAUAACUAGGAGUGGAAUUGCAGGGUCAUACAAUAGGCUUAACCUUAUACGAGACUGCCACGAAAUUCUCCAAAGUGGCUCUUCCGUGUUUCAUUCCCGCAGCUACAGCGUCCAGGGUGCUCCACGUCCUCACCCACACUCCAUGUUGUCUUUUUUUGCUAGGGGGUGUAAAAUCCUGUCUGAUUUGGUUUUAGUUUGCAUUUCCCUGAUGCCUAUUGAUGUUGAGCAACUUCUCAUAAGCUAUCGGCCGUUUGUAGAUCUUCUGAAAAGUGUCAGUUCAAAUAUUUUGUUCAUAUUUGGAUUUUUAUCUUCUUAUUGUCAAUGUGUGAUCAUUUUAAAAUAUAUUCUAGAUAUUAUCAGA
RNAcentral lists this small RNA (2710 nucleotides) under Pan troglodytes (chimpanzee). RNAcentral's name for it is "retained intron". The record is from RNAcentral. Lineage: Eukaryota; Metazoa; Chordata; Mammalia; Primates; Hominidae.